Molecule: non-coding RNA, 381 nt
Organism: Paramisgurnus dabryanus
Lineage: Eukaryota; Metazoa; Chordata; Actinopteri; Cypriniformes; Cobitidae
Source: RefSeq, a predicted model, not a curated record
ACUCAAUCUGCAACAACACUGCUGGGAGUUACAAUUGCUCGUGUAUAAGUGGAUAUAAUGUAACAGACCUGGACCUCCCUAUAAACAUCAGUAACCCAUGCACAGAUGUGAAUGAAUGUGAUGAGAUACCUGAGGUCUGUGGUCCAAACUCAAUCUGCAACAACACUGAUGGGAGUUACAAUUGCUCGUGUAUGAGUGGAUAUAAUGUAACAGACCUGAACCUCAAUAUAAACAUCAGUAACCCAUGCAGAGAUGUGAAUGAAUGUGUUGAGAUUCCUGAGGUCUGUGGUCCAAACUCAAUCUGCAACAACACUGCUGGGAGUUACAAUUGUUCGUGUAUGAGUGGAUAUAAUGUAACAGACCUGAACCUCCCUAUAAACA